This 178-nucleotide ribosomal RNA is filed under the name uncultured bacterium. RNAcentral describes it as "partial 16S ribosomal RNA". It matches the Rfam family "Bacterial small subunit ribosomal RNA", at positions 1321 to 1500 of the family's 1533-position model. The record is from RNAcentral.
UGAAGCCGGAAUUGCUAGUAAUGGCAGGUCAGCAUACUGCCGUGAAUACGUUCCCGGGCCUUGUACACACCGCCCGUCACACCAUGAGAGUUGGGAAUACCCGAAGCCUGUGAGCUAACGAAAGAGGCAGCAGUCGAAGGUAGAAUCAAUGAUUGGGGUGAAGUCGUAACAAGGUAAC